RNAcentral lists this long non-coding RNA (291 nucleotides) under Pan troglodytes (chimpanzee). RNAcentral describes it as "long non-coding RNA NONPTRT017219". Lineage: Eukaryota; Metazoa; Chordata; Mammalia; Primates; Hominidae. The record is from RNAcentral.
UAUGUGAGGAGGAAAGCUAACCUUUAUCUUCCCUAGAGACCUCAAACUUAAGGACACUCAGAGAAGGGUGUCAGAUUCCCCAUGCUUUAAAGGGAGCAUCUCAGCUCUAUCAUCACCAGCAGUCCUCCUGAUAACCUUUCAGCAGCCCCUUCAAGGUCAUGGCACUGAUAUUAAAAGUUGUGGGCUGUAACUACCUGAGAAAGGACUUCCCUACCUCUUUUGCUUGGCGUGGGGUAAAAAGUAUGUGGGUUUUUGUUUUGUCUUACUUAAAAAUAUUUGUUCAAUUUUAAU